AGGCCUCUCAGGGUUUCUGG
RNAcentral lists this microRNA (20 nucleotides) under Macaca mulatta (Rhesus monkey). RNAcentral describes it as "mml-miR-7172-5p". Lineage: Eukaryota; Metazoa; Chordata; Mammalia; Primates; Cercopithecidae. The record is from miRBase by way of RNAcentral.